RNAcentral lists this ribosomal RNA (274 nucleotides) under uncultured bacterium. RNAcentral describes it as "partial 16S ribosomal RNA". It matches the Rfam family "Bacterial small subunit ribosomal RNA", at positions 523 to 796 of the family's 1533-position model. The record is from RNAcentral.
ACACGGAGGGCGCAAGCGUUGCUCGGAAUCACUGGGCGUAAAGCGGGUGUAGGCGGUCUAGCAAGUCAGAUGUGAAAGCCCACGGCUCAACAGUGGAAGUGCAUCUGAAACUGCUAGACUUGAGUGCCGGAGAGGGAAGAGGAAUUCCUGGUGUAGGGGUGAAAUCCGUAGAUAUCAGGAGGAACACCGGUGGCGAAGGCGACUUCCUGGACGGCCACUGACGCUGAGACCCGAAAGCGUGGGGAGCAAACAGGAUUAGAUACCCUAGUAGUCC